CUCUUUCUUACUCUCUCUCGCCAGAUCUGGCUCCGACAAUGAAGAGAAAGAAAAAGCGCAAGCCAAAUUCUCCACCAUCUGCUACGCAGCCGCACCGCCGUCGAAAAGCUAACCCCUUUCAUGAUUUUUUUGUGUUUUGUUUGUAUUAUUUUGUGUAAUCUGUGUGAAAUUUUUGUUAAUUGUUUUAGCUGCUUUUGUUUUCUCUGUCUUUGAAUUUCAAAUCUCAAGCUAUGGAUAAUUCUCUGUUGCCUGCGUUUUUACACAUCACAAAAGUUGAUACCUGAAGCUUUGAAUUAUUUUAAUUUGUGAGUCAUUAAUUGAAAUUGAUAGUAGUAAUCUAGCUUCAUCUCUUUCUUAGACUCUCUCUCUCACACACACACACACACACUUUGAAGCACUCUGUGUGGGGGUGAUUUUAAUUACCAAUUACUUGGGGAAGGAAUAGUACAGAGGGGAGUGAAAGUGCGUGCGUUGAGUGUGUGUGAGUGUGUGUGAGGGAUUGUUGAGGGCUUGUGUUUUGUUUUAUUUCAUUGAUGUGUGUACAUGGACUAAAUGUUUGAAUAAUUGUUAGUUUGAGUGUUGAUAUGCAAAUUGUUUCUGGAGUUUGCAGUAUCUGUACAAAAUGUUUUGUCAUUCCCUAAAUCAAUAUAUAUGCAUUCUUUUUGUUUUUUUUUUUGGUGUUUUUUUUUUGUUUUUUUGUUUUUUUUUGUUUUUUUUGUUUUUUAAUUUUAAACCGUGUUCAUAUAAUUUGAGUAUAAUAAUGGAUAUGCUGCAUCGUAGAAUUUUGGUUUUUCGUUUAACAAUAAACAUGCUGCAAUUUGCUCGUUUUCUCGACAUUGUUUGCUCCGAAAUCCUCGUAUUAUACAGUCUUGAAUGUUCUUGAAUAAAUUAUGGAGCUUCGAGUGAAGUGCAAAUAGCAUAUAUAUAUAGUCACAUAUGGUCACAUACUUAUAUAUAUAGUUAUAUGUGUAGUCAUAUAUAGUCGCAUAUGGUCAUAUACAUGUAGUCAUAUAUAGUCACGUGUAGUCAUAUAUAUGUAGUCAUAUAUAGUCACGUGUAGUCAUAUACAUGUAGUCAUAUAUAGUCACGUGUAGUCAUAUAUAGUCACGUGUGGUAAUAUAUAGUUAUGUAUAAGCUAUGUACUAACAUGUAGUCAUGUAUGAGUUAUGCGAGAAGUAUAUGCUGGUGAUGUAUAUGUAUGUCUGUGUAGAUUCAAAUUUGAAGAAAAAAUCAUUGUUUGUUUAACUAUUUUUCUUUUUCGCAGGUCUUGGUGUUUGUUUGAAUUACAGUAAGUUUUUGCGGAGUGGACUUUGUGUUCGUCGUUCAAAAUAAGCUGUACUCGUGUUGAAAAGUGAAAUUUCAGUCAAAUUUAGUCGUAUAGAUAACGAUAUAUAACUAUAGAUGACUAUAGUCAUGUAUAGUUCCAUAUGGUAAUUUAUACUUAUAUACAAGUUAUACGGUUUUUCUGAUGUAUAGUGAUCUUGAUGAUUGUGUUUUUUUUGUUGGGUACUAAUUGAUUUAUAAUACAAGAUUCAAAUUGUGAAUUUAUUUGUUGCUGCAAUUUUUUUUAUAUAUAUAUGUAACCAAUGGUUUACCAUAAUUUUGGAUUAAAAGACUACACAUAACUGUGAUAUACUAUAGUCAUGUGUAGUCAAUUUGGAAAUUAUCAAAAAAAUAAAAAAAAGUGUAGUCAAUUUGGAUACAGUAAAUUUAUCAAGAAAAUUUAAAAAUUAAAAAAAAAUAAAAAAAUUAAAAUAUUAAAAAAAUUAAAAAAAUUAAAAAAAUAAUAAAAUUAAAAAAUAAAAAAUAAAAAAUAAAUAAAAAUAUACGAAAGAGGAUAUAUAUAAAAAUUAAUAAUAAAUAAACAUUUAUAUUUUUAUAUUAAAAAAAUAUAUAAUAAUGAUAAAUGCAGGUCUAUCAAUGCUAAAUGCAGUCUGUCAUAGUGCUGAAUGCAGCUGGCAAAAUUACUGAGUGCAGUUGGGCAAAAUUGCAUUUAAGGGCACAUUAGUACUUUUACCUCUCUAGGGGUGUAUCUCAAAGAAAGAUUUUUAGGGNNNNNNNNNNNNNNNNNNNNNNNNNNNNNNNNNNNNNNNNNNNNNNNNNNNNNNNNNNNNNNNNNNNNNNNNNNNNNNNNNNNNNNNNNNNNNNNNNNNNNNNNNNNNNNNNNNNNNNNNNNNNNNNNNNNNNNNNNNNNNNNNNNNNNNNNNNNNNNNNNNNNNNNNNNNNNNNNNNNNNNNNNNNNNNNNNNNNNNNNNNNNNNNNNNNNNNNNNNNNNNNNNNNNNNNNNNNNNNNNNNNNNNNNNNNNNNNNNNNNNNNNNNNNNNNNNNNNNNNNNNNNNNNNNNNNNNNNNNNNNNNNNNNNNNNNNNNNNNNNNNNNNNNNNNNNNNNNNNNNNNNNNNNNNNNNNNNNNNNNNNNNNNNNNNNNNNNNNNNNUACGCCGACGUCGUUCCGAAGACCGCCGAGAAUUUCCGCGCACUCUGCACCGGAGAGAAAUGAGUCGGCAGAUCUGGCAAGCCAGUCCACUACAAGGGCUCAUGCUUCCACCGCGUGAUCCCCAACUUCAUGUGCCAGGGAGGCGACUUCACCGCCGGAAACGGCACCGGAGGCGAGUCGAUCUAUGGAGCCAAGUUCGCCGACGAGAACUUCGUAAAAAACAGUUAGAAUAUAGAUGUGGGAUGGUGAUGCUGUGGUGUGGCGACGACGUGGUGACGAUGAAGAACAGAUCUAGGGUUUUUUUUGUGGAUUUUGGCGGAAGACGGCGCAGAAAAAAAAAAUUCGCGCAGGCCGGGCCCUUAAUCGACUACGUGGUUUAAUUGACUAUGUUCAAUAGUCGAUUAAGGCUUAAUCGACUAUGUUCAAUAGUCGAUUAAGGCUUAAUCGACUAUGUUCAGUAGUCGAUUAAGGUUAACCGACUCUAAUUGUUAAUUUUUUUUUUUUGAUUUUUUGUUUUAUUGACUCCAAUGUAUAAAUCAAUUACAAUGUUUGUAUUUUUUUUAAAUAUAAUUGAUUUUGUAUUUUUUUGUAAUUGUGAUUUUUUAUGACUAUGCAUUAAUAAACCUGAUAGAGAAAAAAAUUAAAAAAACCAAAAAACAUUUAAAAACAAAAUUAGAAAAAAAAAAAAGUUAAAAAAUAAAGAUUUUCCUUAAUCGACUAUGAAGCAUAGUCGAUUUAGGACUAAUCGACUAUGCUUCAUAGUCGAUUAAAAAAACGGAAAAAAAAAAACGCGGAGCGUGUGACCUAGUGAUGAGGUGGCGGGCGGGGGUAAAGCUGGAAAGCAUAAUAGCUGAAAUUGGAAUUGGACUUUUCUCAAAUGGUCUAAAAUAUUUUGGGCUUAUCUCCAUUAAAAAAAGUAAUGGGGGUUAUGUCAAAGAGCCCCAUAUAUAUAUAUAUACACACACGUGUGUAUGUAUAUAAUUUAGGGGAAAGUACAGUUUGCACCCCUGAACUAUAGGGUCUGUCACAAAUACUCCCCUAAACUACAAAACGUAACAAACUAACCCCUGUAUUCUAUGGUCAACGUUAAGAAAACUAACACCGGCAGUUUUCAUGAGCAAUUACUUAUUUGCCCAUCAACUUUGGUCUCUCUCCUCUCUCUUCUUCUUCUCGCCUUUUUUUCUCCUUUUCUUUUCACAGAGAUUCUCUCCUCUUUGCCCCUCUCCUCUCAUCUUAUACUCUCAUAUGCAUCAGAUCCAAGUUAUCAAGAUAGAAAUUGCAAGCUUAUGUUUUUCUUUUUCUUUUAAAAAACCUAGACUAACCCCUCUUUGUCUUUCUGCAAAAUCCAUCUAGUAUUAAAGUUCUCCAGCAAAACCCAAUUAAACCAUAGAACUCAUCCCCUGUUUUAUUUUUGUUCAAAAAAGUAAAAAAAAAAAUAGAAGAGGAGAAGAGAAGAGAAGAAUCAAGAUCUGAGCCACAAGCUUGUUUCUAAAAUCCUCGAAAUCCCUGAAUUUCCGUGCAAAAUUUGUUGUGGUGGGCUUUGUCUUCGCGCCACGUUGAUCCCCGUCGACUUCACCGCCGGCAUGGUUGGCAUCACCAAUCCGGUGCUCUGCAAGUCUUCUAAGAGCUUUUUUGGUGAUUGGUUUGUGUUUGAUUGACCUUCCUCCGGCACGGCGUUGUAUUCUUAGGUUUUUGUCAACAAGCUACUGUAACCAUGGUGCAGCAAGAUUCCCAUUUAUAUAUUAUAAUAAAAUGUUAAUUCUACACACACACACACACAUAUAUAUAUGGGCGAAUAGCAAAAAGGUCCAUCACAUGGGACUUAAAUGCAUUUUGGUCCACACAAAAAACAGUCUCUCAAUUAAGCCCAUCCUUAUGUCUUUAGUCUAAAAUACCUUCAACAAUAUAAUUCUUAUCAAUUCCACCCAUUAUGUUCUAACUUCUUUCAUAUUACACAUUGACCCCAUAUUUAAACAAAUAUAUCACAUUAACCACCAAAACUUUUUUUUCAGAAAAUAAUUUUUUUUUCUGAAAUAUUCAGAUUCCGGCCAGAUUUCCGGCGUUGACCGCCGGUCUCCGGCAUUGACUUUUUUUUUUUUUUUUUUUUUGAAUUUUUUUUUCUUAGAAGAAAAAAAUAUUUUAAUUAAUAUUAAUGUUUUAGCUACUAAAUUACUAUCUCAGACAGUAAUAUUACUGUUUGGGACGGUAAUAUUAUGAAUAUUAUUUUUCCGAACAGUAAUAUUAUGAAUAUUAUUUUUCCGAACAGUAAUAUUAUGAAUAUUAUUUUUCCGAACAGUAUUAUUAUUAAUAUUAUUGUCUAAUAUAGUUAAAUUACUGUUGAAGACAGUAAUUUAGCAUCUAAGGCAGUACUAUUAAUUAAAAUAUUUUUUUUUAAGAAAACAAAUGAAAAAAAAGUCAAUUAACAGUUAAAUUACUGUCUCCGACAGUUAAAUAACUGCUGGAGACAGUAAUUUAGCAAACGAAUACAGUAAUAUUAAUUAAAAAUAUUUUUUUUAAGAAUAAAGAAGUCAAUUAACAUUUAAAUCAAUGUCUCCAACAGUUAAAUAACUGUUGGAGACAGUAAUUUAGCAAGAUAAAGUAAUAUUAAUUAAUAUAUUUUUGAAGAAAAAAAAAAUCAAUUAACAGCUAAAUUACUGUCUCCGGCAGUUAAAUAACUGCCGGAGACAGUAAUUUAGCAGCCAAGACAGUCAUAUUAAUUAAAAAAAAUUAAGAAAAAACAAAAUUAUAAAAAAAAAAAAAAAAAUGAACGCCGGAGACCGGCGGUCAGCGCCGGAAUCUGGCCGGAAAAAAAACAUUUCAGAAACAAAAAUGUUUUCUGAAAAAAAAAAUUGGGGGUUAAUGUGAUAUAUUUGUUUAAAUCCGGGGUCAAUGUGUAAUAUUAAAGAAGUUAGAGCAUAAUUGGUGGAAUUGAUAAGAAUUAGGGUUAAAAUUGGGGUCAAAAUUGAAAUUAGGAUUAAAAUUGGUUAAUUGAUGAAAUUGGGCUAAAUUGGGGUGUAAAUCAUGAAAUUGGAGUUGAAUUGGGUUUCAAUGAAUUUGGGGUAAUUUUGGUAUAUAUGAAAGGAUUUUCCUUAUUUGCAAAUAAGUUUGAAUGUGUUGGAUUUAUUUAAAAGACAAAAAAAUUGGAUGUCCCUCUUUUAAUUAAGUGCCCUUGUCAUGGGCCUAUUUGUCAUUACCCAUAUAUAUAUAUAUAUAUAUAUAUAUAUAUAUAUAUAUAUAUGGGGCUCUUUGAGAAAACCCCCUCACUAUUUUUUUUAAUAGAGGGAGGCCCAAAAUAUUUUAGUCCAUUUGAGAAAAGUCCACACCCAUUUUCAGCCAUUAUAUUUUCCAGCUUUACCCCCGCCCGCCAUCUCAUCACUAAAUCACGCGCUCCGCUAUUGUUUUUUUUUUUUUCCGUUUUUUUAAUCGACUAUGAAGCAUAGUCGACUAGUCUUAAAUCGACUAUGCUUCAUAGUCGAUUAAGGACAUUCUUUAAUUUUUUAAUUUUUUUUUUGUUUUUUUAAUUUUUUUCUACAUCAGGUAUAUUAAAUGGACUAUGAUGAAUUGCAUAGUCAAUUAAGAAUCUGCUACUAAACAUUACAAAUCACAAUUGCAAAAAAAAUGCACAAUCAACUAUAUUUUACAAAAUACAAAAAAUAUACAAACAUUAUAAUUGAUUUAUACAAUUAGAAUCAAUAAACAAAAUCCAAAAAAAAAAUACAAAAUUGGAGUCGAUCAACCUUAAUCGACUUUCAGAGCAUAGUCGAUUAGCUUAAUCGACUAUUGAGUAUGUACAUAGUCGAUUAAACUUUCAGUCUGCGCGAAUUUCUCUACACCACCAGCCCAGGCAAAAACCACCAAAACAAAACCACACAUCAAAAAAUUUGCAGCAAAAUUAUAUUAAAAAUCCAUAACCUGCCCUCCGUUGGCCAAUAAUCAUUGCCUGAAAAUUUCGAAUCAAACCCAAAUUAUUUGUACCAUCACCACACCAUAUCAACUCCUCUAAAACACUAUACUCCACCCCUGCAUCACCGCAUUGUACCUUACCCUCCAUAAAUUGUACAUUGCACUCAUACCUGGGUAUUCUUCACUCCCCAUAAAUAUUCACGAUCUUUUGUCUUCUCCAAUUUUCAUUUGUAGCAAAUAGCUUCUGCAAAAAAAUUGAUGAAACAACCAGCCCCAAGGAGCGGCUACUCCGCCUCAGGCGGCGGCAUAUCCCGUAAGCCGCCGUACCACCAUCUCAAGAUCUCCUCCAGCAACAGAGCAUGAAGGCCGGCAAGGAUUAUCACAGAAUAUCCACCUAAGCCACGUAUUAAGAAUAUCAUGAAGGCCGACGAGGAAGUGCGCAUCAUAUCGGUGGAGACGGCGGGGAAGCGGAGUGGAGAGAAUAUGGUGAGAUUUGGAUGGAGGAAAAUAAAAGACGAGAGAAAUGGUAGGUUGGAAUUAUUAAAGAUUCAUUUUGCUAGAAAUAUACCUAAGGGGGUUUUCUCUAAUUAUUUUUGGGAAAUGAUGUUUUCUUAACUACAUUUCCUAGAUGAGGGGGUUAUUGCUAACUAUCCAUAUAUAUAUAAAACUAAGGGUAAAAUUGUAAAAUCAAUUAUUUGGAGAAAGUCAACUUGCCAUGUCAGCACACCACAAACGGAUUGGAAACGGAGGGUUAGUUUGUUACGUUUUGUAGUUUAGGAGGUGUUUGUGACAGACCCUAUAAUUCAGGGGUGCAAACUGUACUUUCCCCUAUAAUUUAUAUAAGAUUAUGGUGACAAAAUAAAAUAUUGAAGGGUUAAGAAACAUAUUUAAAAAAAAAUGGGGAGGACAAGACUAAUAUUAAAAAAAAUUAACUACAAGAUACCUAAAAAAAAAAAAAAUCUUAGGGAGGCUACACCCCCACAUUUAGGAAAAGAAAAUUCGUAGGGAAAAUGAUACAAGAGACAUGAUCAUGCUUAAAGAAAAAACUAUACUAUAUAGGAAAAUUUAGUAAGACCCCCUCAUUUGGAAUAAUCAUUUGAGAUGGAACCCCUUCAAAUAAUUAAGGGAAAAGUACAGUUUGCACCCUGAAUUAUGAGGAUUGUCCUAAAUGCCCCCUUGAACUACAAAACGUAACAAAACACCUCCUCCAUUUUCAAUCCGUUUGUUUGUAAUGACGUGGCGAAUUGACUUUUUUAUCUUUUAAUCUUUUUUUAAUAUUGUACUAUCUUUUGACCUUUUCACCCUCAACAAAUACAUUAUAUUAAGCCCAUAUGAAUUUUACGAAAAAAAAAGCCUACGUAGAGCUUUUUCAUCUUCGACCAAGCAAACCCCCAACAAUUGCAGUAAAUUUGGAUGCUUCAAUUGCUUCAAGAUCUCAGCCCAAUUACCAUUAUUUAUAGCGUCUUUUCUCCCAUUCCAUACACUCUUUUCUCUUUUGUUCUUCUUACUGGACCUCUCAAUGUAGAACCACCACAUACGAAAUUCAAGCAACAUAAAUGCGGCGCCAUCGAAAACCCUCACCGCCAACGAUUGUAACUAAACGUAGCCCCGCCACCUCUUCCUUCUAGACAAUUUCCCCCCUCCCCCACCCAGAUUAUCAGUUGUCCACCCCAGCUCAUUCCUCGUCCCCAAACGGCGCCUCUCAAAGGGGGCCUCAGCAAGCCUUUGAGCCACUUCCGCCGCUUCCAUUUGUGUAUCAUGUGGCGGAAUCGCUGAUCCCCGCCUACAUGCGGCUCCUGCACCUGUAUUUGGCCGGUCAAUCUAUUUUGGGAUAUCACUAGCUUUGGAGAGAGAAUUGUGAUGGGUGUGAUGUGGGGAGGUGUUUGGAUAGGGGAAAGAAACGUUGAGUAGGGCUGGUACAAAUUUUCUAAAUACAUUUAAAGGGUCAAAUAAGUAAAUUCACAU
RNAcentral lists this long non-coding RNA (8302 nucleotides) under Erythranthe guttata (spotted monkey flower). Its description in RNAcentral is "long non-coding RNA (EGUT_LNC002943)". Lineage: Eukaryota; Viridiplantae; Streptophyta; Magnoliopsida; Lamiales; Phrymaceae. The record is from RNAcentral.